AACCUUAUGGACCUGCGGGCGUAUACCUGCGGAGGGAUCAUUAAUGGGUAGGCUUUGGCCAUAAUCCCUCACCAUUGUGAACGAAGCUUUAGUAGCAGUUGCUUCGGCGGGUGAUAAUACCAUGCCCCUUUCGGGGUACCCGCCGGAGGCAAGUAAAUUCUCGUUAUUUAUCGUUAUCUCUGAGUAAACUUUAAAUAAGUCAAAACUUUCAGCAACGGAUCUCAGAUCGGAAGAGCACAC
This 240-nucleotide unclassified non-coding RNA is filed under the name soil metagenome. Its description in RNAcentral is "partial contains 5.8S ribosomal RNA, internal transcribed spacer 2, and large subunit ribosomal RNA". The record is from RNAcentral.